CAGAGAAUAGUUUAAAAAAUAUUAAUUUUGGAGAUUAAAGUUGAGGUAUUCCUUUUCUCUGA
RNAcentral lists this transfer RNA (62 nucleotides) under Lycus dentipes. RNAcentral describes it as "tRNA-Pro". Lineage: Eukaryota; Metazoa; Arthropoda; Insecta; Coleoptera; Lycidae. The record is from RNAcentral.